Long non-coding RNA from Herpailurus yagouaroundi (jaguarundi), 1300 nucleotides. RefSeq lists it as uncharacterized. Lineage: Eukaryota; Metazoa; Chordata; Mammalia; Carnivora; Felidae. The record is from RefSeq and is a predicted model, not a curated record. The transcript has 3 exons.
UGCACACACGUGUCCCUCACCCUCUUCCUCAGAGGCUGGCACACUACGCACUACAAACAUGUGGGCGUUUUUAGACUUUGUUUGUCCAGGGGAGGGACUUUAAACGCUGAGUUUCCUUCUUGGAGGAAUCUGAAUUGUGCAUCAGCAGAAACUACUCAGAUCAAAUAAAGCUGUUGUGAGUUCUGCAAGACCUAGAACUGUGGGAGCCACUGGCCGCUGUGUGGCGGGUUGGAAGUACGUUCACGCACGUGCAGCCAAGCAGAUCUUCCACGGGCUGUAGAGCCUUUUCUGCACCUGCUGCUGGAAGUUGCUACCUCAAGUGGGCCGUUUGUGUGACUCUUCGUAAGGAACAUGAGUCACGUGAAAGGGCACAUUGCCUUCGGGGACAUAAUCAAAUGCCUGAAUGACAAGUAUGAAGAGUGUCACCCUCAAUGACACCUUGGAAUCCUGAAACCGUUUCUCGUGGAGCCCGUCAGCAGGUGGAUGAUGGCCGGUAACACACAGGGAGAGCGGCAGAGGAGGCAGACGACGCGGCGUUUCCCUGGUUUCUGUCUGUGAGUUCUGUGAAAGCCGUGUGCCCAGGCCGAGCUCCAGGACCGGCGCCUGCCGACGGGGAGAGGGGCCGUCUCUCCCAGCUGGGGUGCGGGCACUCUGCCCAUUGGAUCUGAGGUCUUGUAGCCACCGGGUGCCCCCUUUGGUAAAAAAUCUACUGCUCCUUCCAGUAGGCAUCAGCAUGCGUAAGGGCCAGCCCGUAACCCCCAAGUGACAGGUGCCCCCCAAGAAGGACCCUCAACCGUGUCUCACCAGGAACUGAGGUGAGAGCUGUUGCUCCAGUCUGAAUUCAAACAGGUUCCCCUUGGGAGAAGACUGCUCACCUGGGGCUGCUCAGCAAGGCCCCCUGUCUGCAGACCAGUCCCCUCACAUGCGACUUCAAAUCGCAGGAAAGACUUGCCCUGAGAGGAAGCAUCUCGAGGGAGCACAUCGGGGUCUGCGCCGGACAGGAGGGGCUGAGAAACGGAGACCAAAUAGAACACAUCUACAGGCCGGAUUAGGGUCAUUGGCCCAAAUUUGCAACUGCCCUUACCUGCCUCCCUCUGUCCUCUUUAUGAAUUCAGCAUUCACUGUGCACCACACACUGUUGGUGGCUCUUGGAAUAAGUCUGGGGACAGGUGGCAAGGGGCUCUGCUCCCUCGGGCCUCCCAAACGGUAAAGGGCAACCUCAGCCCCUGUAAGUGCUGUGAGUACAAGGGGAGGGGAGCCUGAGGUGGGGGUGGGUGGCCCUCAGAGAGAGGAGACAGGA